UACGUAGGGGGCAAGCGUUGUCCGGAUUUAUUGGGCGUAAAGAGCGUGUAGGCGGCUUGGUAGGUCCGCUGUGAAAACUCGAGGCUCAACCUCGAGAUGUCGGCGGAAACCACUUGGCUAGAGUCCGGAAGAGGAGAGUGGAAUUCCUGGUGUAGCGGUGAAAUGCGCAGAUAUCAGGAAGAACACCUAUGGCGAAGGCAGCUCUCUGGGACGGUACUGACGCUGAGGCACGAAAGCGUGGGGAGCAAACAGG
Molecule: ribosomal RNA, 253 nt
Filed under: uncultured bacterium
Lineage: Bacteria
Description: partial 16S ribosomal RNA
Rfam family: Bacterial small subunit ribosomal RNA
Source: RNAcentral